GAUGAACGCUGGCGGCGUGCCUAAUACAUGCAAGUCGAGCGAACGGACGAGAAGCUUGCUUCUCUGAUGUUAGCGGCGGACGGGUGAGUAACACGUGGAUAACCUACCUAUAAGACUGGGAUAACUUCGGGAAACCGGAGCUAAUACCGGAUAAUAUUUUGAACCGCAUGGUUCAAAAGUGAAAGACGGUCUUGCUGUCACUUAUAGAUGGAUCCGCGCUGCAUUAGCUAGUUGGUAAGGUAACGGCUUACCAAGGCAACGAUGCAUAGCCGACCUGAGAGGGUUAUCGGCCCCCCUGGAACGGAGACACGGCCCAGCCUCCUAGGGGAGGCAGCAGUGGGGAAUCUUCCGCAAUGGGCGAAAGCCUGACGGAGCACCGCCGCGUGAGUGAUGAAGGUCUUGGGAUCGUAAAACUCUUUUAUUGGGGAAAAAAAUAUGUGUAAGUAACUGUGCACAUCUUGACGGUACCUAAUCAAAAAGCCCCGGCUAACUACGU
This 496-nucleotide ribosomal RNA is filed under the name uncultured bacterium. RNAcentral's name for it is "partial 16S ribosomal RNA". It matches the Rfam family "Bacterial small subunit ribosomal RNA", at positions 28 to 506 of the family's 1533-position model. The record is from RNAcentral.